UGUUCAAUCCAUGGCUACCUUCCAUACUCC
RNAcentral lists this non-coding RNA (30 nucleotides) under Mus musculus (house mouse). Lineage: Eukaryota; Metazoa; Chordata; Mammalia; Rodentia; Muridae. The record is from RNAcentral. RNAcentral also lists the same sequence under 1 other name.